RNAcentral lists this long non-coding RNA (895 nucleotides) under Mus pahari (shrew mouse). Its description in RNAcentral is "lncRNA (MGP_PahariEiJ_G0004960.1)". The record is from RNAcentral. Lineage: Eukaryota; Metazoa; Chordata; Mammalia; Rodentia; Muridae.
AGUGUCUACUUUUUGAGAGGAGGGAUUGAGCAAACUGUUCACUCACUAUGCACUUCCCAUCAAAACGGCAGGCUUCAGUUCUCUGUGCUCUCUGAGAGAAUAUAACCAUGUAGAAAGUCUAGUCUGUAUGUGGAAUAUCUGUUAGGAAGAAAUUCUACUUGGAAAGCUUGUCUGCUCUAUUAACCCAUCCCUGUUGCUCCCUUGAAAGAGGAGGGCCUUCACUGUCCACUGUAAGAUGAAGGUCUUCUGUGGCUCUGACGGCUUAUGUUUAGAGACCUUUCUUCAGUGUCCCCAAGGAGUUUCUAGAGGGGCAAUUCAUGAGAGAUAGACUCCGUAACUUGAGUCCGCAAAUUUCAAAAUGUGGAAAAAGCAUUUUAUCAAUGCCAUAGGAAGAGACUGCUUUUACCUAAGAAGAAAGCUUUCAUGGUAUUUGUCAAAUACCAGAACAGCGAGGGUACAGCUGUUUCUAACAGUUCCUUAUGAAUCUUUUGCAUGGUACUGUACACACUUGGACCAGUGACUACUUAAGAUGAAAUGCAACCCAGUGGAAUGCAUCUGAGAAAGAAAGAUAGCAAUGAGUACUUGAGGAUGCCUGCUACUAAUGUGCCAUGGACCCUCUAGUGCAAUGACAAAAGUGAAAACAUAAAAUGUCGACCUCUGUACCAAUGUGUGGUUAGCGCCGGCACAGCACUGUCGCCCUAGGAUGCCCUGAAUAAACCAUUGUUGUGGCUUCCCUGACAGACAGCUUGUCGGCAAAUGAUCAGUAUUGGCCAUGAUUUCGGGCUAAUUUCAUGGAUGUUUUCCAGUUUCCGUGAUCUUCCAUUCCCAUUUUCUAAACAAAAGUGCUUCUGAAAAUUUCUGUUUAACAUCUUUCACUUUGAAUAAAGAGAACACA